CCUACGGGUGGCAGCAGUCGAGAAUCAUUCACAAUGGGGGAAACCCUGAUGGUGCGACGCCGCGUGGGGGAAUGAAGGUCUUCGGAUUGUAAACCCCUGUCAUGUGGGAGCAAAUUAAAAAGAUAGUACCACAAGAGGAAGAGACGGCUAACUCUGUGCCAGCAGCCGCGGUAAUACAGAGGUCUCAAGGGUUGUUCGGAAUCACUGGGCGUAAAGCGUGCGUAGGCUGUUUCGUAAGUCGUGUGUGAAAGGCGCGGGCUCAACCCGCGGACGGCACAUGAUACUGCGAGACUAGAGUAAGGGAGGGGGAACCGGAAUUCUCGGUGUAGCAGUGAAAUGCGUAGAUAUCGAGAGGAACACUCGUGGCGAAGGCGGGUUCCUGGACAUUAACUGACGCUGAGGCACGAAGGCCAGGGGAGCGAAAGGGAUUAGAUACCCGAGUAGUC
RNAcentral lists this ribosomal RNA (446 nucleotides) under uncultured bacterium. RNAcentral's name for it is "partial 16S ribosomal RNA". It matches the Rfam family "Bacterial small subunit ribosomal RNA", at positions 338 to 795 of the family's 1533-position model. The record is from RNAcentral.